AUGAAGGUUGUGGGAGAGACCCGUAAUCGGGCGCCGAAGGAGCAAGGGCAACCGAAACUCUCAGGCAAAAGGACCGCAACCGGACG
This 86-nucleotide non-coding RNA is filed under the name Carboxydothermus hydrogenoformans. RNAcentral's name for it is "Glycine sequence". It matches the Rfam family "Glycine riboswitch aptamer". From Rfam's summary of the family: This family represents the bacterial glycine riboswitch. Glycine riboswitches usually consist of two metabolite-binding aptamers domains with similar structures in tandem. The aptamers cooperatively bind glycine to regulate the expression of downstream genes. The record is from RNAcentral. Lineage: Bacteria; Bacillati; Bacillota; Clostridia; Thermoanaerobacterales; Thermoanaerobacteraceae. RNAcentral also lists the same sequence under 1 other name.